CCUACGGGUGGCAGCAGUGAGGAAUAUUGGUCAAUGGACGAGAGUCUGAACCAGCCAAGUAGCGUGAAGGAUGACUGCCCUAUGGGUUGUAAACUUCUUUUAUAAAGGCAUAAAACGAGGCAAGUGUGCCUUUUUGCAUGUACUUUAUGAAUAAGGAUCGGCUAACUCCGUGCCAGCAGCCGCGAUAAUACGGAGGAUCCGAGCGUUCUCCGGAUUGAUUGGGUUUAAAGGGAGCGUAGAUGGGUUGUUAAGUCAGUUGUGAAAUUUUGCGGCUCAACCGUAAAAUUGCAGUUGAUACUGGGAGUCUUGAGUGCAGUUGAGGUAGGCGUAAUUCGUGGUGUAGCGGUGAAAUGCUUAGAUAUCACGAAGAACCCCGAUUGCGAAGGCAGCUUACUAGACUGUGACUGACAUUGAUGCUCGAAAGUGUGGGUAUCAAACAGGAUGAGAUACCCCUGUAGUC
RNAcentral lists this ribosomal RNA (460 nucleotides) under uncultured bacterium. RNAcentral's name for it is "partial 16S ribosomal RNA". It matches the Rfam family "Bacterial small subunit ribosomal RNA", at positions 338 to 795 of the family's 1533-position model. The record is from RNAcentral.